Long non-coding RNA from Gorilla gorilla gorilla (western lowland gorilla), 1434 nucleotides. RefSeq lists it as uncharacterized. The transcript has 6 exons. The record is from RefSeq and is a predicted model, not a curated record. Lineage: Eukaryota; Metazoa; Chordata; Mammalia; Primates; Hominidae.
AUUUCCAGGAAGUGACCUCACAAAGACUCAAGCUACCACUUACUGUUGAUUGUGAUGAAAUGCCAGCUGAGGCACACGCCUUGGGAGCUAAGUGGUUGCUGCCCUUGACUACUAUGAAGACUGGUGUGGGAAGGGUCGCUUUGGAUGCACUUGAGCAGGGGUCCCCAACCCCUGAGCCAUGGAGCCGUAAGGAGCCACACAGCAGGUGAGUGGUGUCGAGUGAGGGAGUGAGGGAAGCUUCGUCUGUAUUUACAGCCACUCCCCUUUGCUCACAUUCCCGCCUGAGCUCCACCUUCUCAGAUGAGCAGCAGCAUUAGAUUCUCAUAGGAGAACGCACCCUGUUGUGAACCGUGCAUGUGAGGGAUCUAGGUUGCGCUGUGCUUAUGAGAAUCUAAUACCUAUUGAUCUGUCACUUUCCCCCAUCACGCUCAGGUGGGACCAUCCAGUUUCAGGAAAACAAGCUUAACACGCCCACUGAUUCUACAUUAUGCUCCUACCUCCCGGCAGCCUCGCCAGGCCCAGAACUCUCUCCAGUCAGCCUCUACAGACCAAGCUCAUGACUCACAAUGGCCUAUUUAGGCCCAUACCCUACCUCACGGCAGUCUCCGCAGAUGAGCCUACUGCCUCACAACAGCCUCCACAGGCACAGCUCCAUCGUUACAAUGGCCUCUUUAGACCCAGCUCCUGCCUCCCAGCCUUCUCUCCAGGCCCUGAACUUUCUCCGUGGGACCAUCCAGUUUCAGGAAAACAAGCUUAACACGCCCACUGAUUCUACAUUAUGCUCCUACCUCCCGGCAGCCUCGCCAGGCCCAGAACUCUCUCCAGUCAGCCUCUAGAGACCAAGCUCAUGACUCACAAUGGCCUAUUUAGGCCCAUACCCUACCUCACGGCAGUCUCCGCAGAUGAGCCUACUGCCUCACAACAGCCUCCACAGGCACAGCUCCAUCGUUACAAUGGCCUCUUUAGACCCAGCUCCUGCCUCCCAGCCUUCUCUCCAGGCCCUGAACUUUCUCCGUGGGACCAUCCAGUUUCAGGAAAACAAGCUUAACACGCCCACUGAUUCUACAUUAUGCUCCUACCUCCCGGCAGCCUCGCCAGGCCCAGAACUCUCUCCAGUCAGCCUCUAGAGACCAAGCUCAUGACUCACAAUGGCCUAUUUAGGCCCAUACCCUACCUCACGGCAGUCUCCGCAGAUGAGCCUACUGCCUCACAACAGCCUCCACAGGCACAGCUCCAUCGUUACAAUGGCCUCUUUAGACCCAGCUCCUGCCUCCCAGCCUUCUCUCCAGGCCCUGAACUUUCUCCGUAAGUUGAGGUAGCUGGGACUGUAGGUAUACAUGAUGAUACUUGGCUAAUUUUUAAAUUGUUUUGCAGACAUGGGGUCUCACUUUGUUGGCCAGGCUGGUGUCAAACUAAUGGCCUCAAGUGACCCUU